UUGAUCCUGGCUCAGGAUGAACGCUGGCGGCGUGCCUAAUACAUGCAAGUCGAACGCGCAGCGAAGAGUGCUUGCACUCUUCAAGCGAGUGGCGAACGGGUGAGUAACACGUGAAUAACCUACCGAAAAGCAGGGGAUAACAUUUGGAAACAGAUGCUAAUACCGUAUAAAACGUGCUGUCGCAUGACAAAACGUUAAAAGGUCCGUUUGGACCACUUUUUGAUGGAUUCGCGGUGCAUUAGUUAGUUGGUGGGGUAAAGGCCUACCAAGACGAUGAUGCAUAGCCGAGUUGAGAGACUGACCGGCCACAUUGGGACUGAGACACGGCCCAAACUCCUACGGGAGGCUGCAGUAGGGAAUCUUCCACAAUGGGCGAAAGCCUGAUGGAGCAACGCCGCGUGUGUGAUGAAGGCUUUCGGGUCGUAAAGCACUGUUGUAUGGGAAGAACGGUAAGGGUAGGAAAUGAUCUUUACAUGACGGUACCAUACCAGAAAGGGACGGCUAAAUACGUGC
This 513-nucleotide ribosomal RNA is filed under the name Fructobacillus tropaeoli. RNAcentral describes it as "bacterial SSU rRNA". It matches the Rfam family "Bacterial small subunit ribosomal RNA", at positions 13 to 508 of the family's 1533-position model. Lineage: Bacteria; Bacillati; Bacillota; Bacilli; Lactobacillales; Lactobacillaceae. The record is from RNAcentral.